GUUCGUGACAAAUCAAUAGAUGUUUUUACAAAAUGGCUUAUUUUAAAACAAAACAUUGCUGUAGCACUGAUUAAAUUAGAUUUUGAAAAAUUGCAUCCAAAACGAAACACACUAUUAUUUUCCAAGUGGACGAUAUUUGACACCUUUAUAAAAAAUAUAUACCAUAGAGAUAUAAAAGAUAAAAAAUCUCGCACAUUUUUCAAUGUAUUACAGUCAUCUAACUUAAAUGAAGAUUCAAAAAAUUACCUCUUAAUUAUAAAUCUGAAUGCCAUACUUAUUCCUGCUAUAAUUAAAACUGAACAAGACAUUUACAGACCAUCAAUACUAGAUGGCCAAGAAA
Onthophagus taurus is the source of this 340-nucleotide long non-coding RNA. RefSeq lists it as uncharacterized. Lineage: Eukaryota; Metazoa; Arthropoda; Insecta; Coleoptera; Scarabaeidae. The record is from RefSeq and is a predicted model, not a curated record.